CUCCCUCACUGGCAGUAACCCAGCGCCUCCAUUGCUGACCUCUACCGACCUUCACCUGUGGUCCUUCCUCUACUGCAGCAGUGACACUGUUUUCCUCCUUUGUUCUUCCACCCCCAUGAGGACUAUCACAGAAGUGAAGUGCAGUUCUCAUCAUGUCAUAUCAAUAGCACACACUAACAACCUGACUUAUUGCUGAAUAUUGAACUUGAUCACCUGGCUGAGGUAGUGUUUGCCAGAUUUCUCUGUAAAGGUGAAUAAACUGACACUGGAACAUUCAGGAACUUCUUCAUGGUCAUGGUCACCCAGCUAGAGUGUGGAAGCCAGGCUGUCUGAGUCCAGGAUCUGUGUUCUUAAUCCAACACAUAAGGAAGCCAUAAUGAGUCAACCACUAUUUUUAAGAUUCACAGAUGUUUGUGUCCAAUUCACCAGAAUGCCAAGUUAUACAGGGUUGUGGAAUCAAAAACUGCAAUUAGUAAUAAAAUGUGAUGCUAUCUGGAAUGUUUUUCAUACAUAUAUAUGCUUCUUGGGAUUCUCCCUGCAGGUUAAGAGAAAUUGAGGAACAAUGGAGAAUUUAAGUGUUUUAGAUCCUACAAACAUUAGACUUAAAAAUAGUAACUAUAUACAUGAGUAUUUAUAAACUUAAGAAUGAACAUAACAUGAACCAUGUGGCACCUAUAAAAUGAAAAUAAAAUACCUACAAACCAAAUGAGAGCAAUAAAAGAAGCUUUAAGGACUUUCACUUCAGGGAGUCUGAAUUAGAUGCGCUUCUUCCCAUUCCUCCCUCUAAUUACAACAAGCUUGGACGUUACAUACAGAACAAACAGAAGGAGCCUCUGAAAGAUGAAGAGAAGGCAAGUAAGCUACAGACUUCACAACGUAAGGAAUAAUAUGGUGGUGAGUUACAUUUGUGAUUUUUUUUUGUCUCAUAUCCCAUAAUAUCUCAUAUCUCAUAAUCAGAAAGCACAAUGGAAAAGUAUUCCACUGCCAAUGGUGUUAGAGAACUGCUCACAAAUUCAACAGAAAUGCACAGAUACCAAAGCAGAAAGGACAAUAAACAAGAGUCUUCAUGGUCAAAAGAUUAGAACCUGCAGCUUUCAAUGGGAGGGACAGGUUCUGGACCACACUGCAGUGCUUUUCUGCUUUCUGUGCUUUCCCAAUCUAGAGCUGAAGAAGGUAACGACCCCAAAAUGUCAAUAUACGUAGACCAAAAACCAGCCCCAAUAAAAGUCUGCUCUCUCUAGCCAAAGGACUACAGUAGGGCAGCCCAGCAAGACAGAAAAACUUCAGACAACCUACCCCAGCCAAACACUGCCAAAAAAAGUAAAGGAAAAAGUGAGCCAUCACCCAAUCCACAUCAGUAAAAACUAAGUGGAAAGUCCAGACUUUCACCUCAAGAGGUUGCGACAAGCUACUCCAAUACCCCUGCUGGGAUAGUGUCACAGAAGGCUAAGUAAGGAGCUGUGAUGUUGAUUCUCCUCCAGAAGUAAAGAGUCCGUACCUGCUAUUUUCAGACAGACCACAUGGAAAGCCUAGAUUUCAACACCUAUCCAGCAUUAAUGAGGUAUUCCUUCCCUUCUUUACUCUCUGGUGUCAAAGAAGCUCCGUGCAGAGUCAGAAUGUUUGGCGUUACUCCUCAGUAGUGAGGCCACCCCCACCACGGUGUUAGUGGAGACCAUGUGAGGACCAGGACUUGUACCCUGCCCAGAAGUAACGAGUAGACCCCUCUACAGGAAGGCCAAAGGGCAACCUAAACUUCUACCUCUCUCUGGCAGUAAUAAAGUAGGGCCUCACUUUUCCCUGCUGAGCAAUAUAAAAAAAAGCCAGCUGAAGUAAAAGCUUAUUUCUUUCUUUCUUUAUACAUAUUUUUGGGGACAGGGUCUUAUUCUGUCACCCACGCAGGAGUACAGUGGCAUAAUCAGGGCUCACUGCAGCCUCAACCUCCUGGGCUCAAGCAAUCCUCCCACCUCAGCCUCUUGAGUAGCUGAGACCACAGAUGUGCACCACCACACAUAGCUAACAUUAACAUUUUUUCUAGAGAUGGGGUCUUCGUAUGUUGCCCAGGCUGGUCUGGAACUCCUGGGCUCAAGUGAUCCUCCCACCUUGGCCUCCUGGAGGGCUGGGAUUACAGGCAUGAGUCAUCACUCCAGGCUGAAGCUUUAUAUAAUAACCAGAGUCUCAUAUAACAAAAUGUCAAAGAUUCAGUCAAAAGUUACUUGUUAUCAGUGGACAAGAUCUCAAACUAAAUGAAAAAAAGACAAUUAAUAGAUGCUAACACUGAGAUAACAAAGUUGUUAGAAUCAUCUGACAAAGAUUUUAAAGCAGCUAUAAUAAAAGUGCUACUGCGAGUGAUUAUAAACAUGCUUGAGACAAAUGAAAAAAUGCUAUAAAGCUAAAAAAUAAAAUAUGUAAAUAAGAAUCAAAGAGAAAUUAUAGAACUAAAAUAUACCAUAACUGAAAUGCAAAGCUCUGUGGAUGGACUCAACAACAGAAUGGAAAAGACUGAGGAAAGAAGUAGUUUACAGGAAAUUAGAACAGACUAGAAAAAAUGAACAAGACCCUGUGCUAAAGAGCAAAUAUUUAUGUCAUUGGAUUCCAGCAAAGAUAAGAGAAUGAAAAAGUACUUAAAUAAUGGCUUAAAAACUUCUCACAUUUUGCAAAGAUUUAAACCUACAAUUUGAGAAGCUGGGCAAACCUUAAACAGGAUAAACCAAAGACACUCACACCAAGAAACAUAGUAAUUAAACUUCUGAUUAAGGAAGAAAAAGAAAAAUCUGGAAAGCAGCAAGAAAAAAAAUGACACACUUUCUAUAUGGUAAAAGCAAUUUGAACGACAGAAGAUUUCUCAUCAGAAACUGUGGGGACCAUGAGGAAGUAACAGAUAUUUUUCAAGUGCUGAAAUAAAUCAACUGUCAAUACAAAAUGCUCUACUCAGUGAAAAUAUCUUUCAGGAAUAAAGGGGAAAUCAGGACAUGCACAGACUUUUUUUAAAUUAAGAAUUUGUUGUCAGCUUAUCUCCCUGAAAGAAUGGCUAACAUUCUCCAAACACGAAGGAAAUUGAUAAGGAAUCUUGAAAUUUCAGUUAGAAACAAUGAACAUGGUAAGCAAAAUAUAGGUCAGUACACUAAGUUUAAUUUCUCCUCUUGAAUUUUCUAAAUUAUGACUUACGAUUGAAGCAAAAAUCGUAACAUUAUCUGAUGUAUAUGUAGAGGAAAGAUUUAAGACAGUGAUGGUAUAAAUGAGGGGUAUAAUGGAACAUGAGAUAACCACUAAUAUGACAUACCAAUAGACUAUGAUAAAUUAUGUGUCUAAUGUGAUUACUAGAAAAACCAGUUAAAAUAUAAAGAUUGAUGGAGUGAAUUUAAAAACAUGACACACUAUAUACUGUUUACCAUAAACUCACUUUGAAGAUAAUGCCAUAGUCAGGUUGAAAUUAAAAGGAAUAAAAUAGUGUAUUAUGUAAACCAUCAAAAAAAGCAGGAAUGGCCAUAUUAAUAAUAUUAAAGUCAGCUUCAGAACUAAGGAAAUUAUCAGAGAGGGACAUUAUAUAAUGAAAUAGUCGAUUUACCAAAAGAACAUAGCAAUCAUAAAUGUGCAUGAAGCAAACAACAAAGCUGGAAAAUAUAUGAAGUGAAACUGAUUGAUAGAUCUAAAAGGAGAAACAGAUAAAUCCAUUCAUUAUAGUUGGGGCCUUUAUCACCCCUCACUCAACAAUUGAUAGAACUGGACAGAAAACCAGUAAGAAUAUGAAAGAACUCAGCAACAUGAGACAAUAGGAUCUAGUUGAUAUUUAUAGAACAUUCCAACAGCAGAAUACAUGUUCUUCAAGUGCUCACAGAACACACAUAAAAGAUAGACCCUGAGCCAUAAAACAAGCCUCAACAAAUUUAAAAGAACUGAAAUACUACAAGUACUUUCUCCAACCACGAAAGAGUCAAACUAGAAAUAAAUAACAAUGAUAAUGGGAACAUCACCAAACACUUGAAAACUGAACAACAAUAGUUUUAUAACCCAUGGUCAUAGAGGAAAUCUCAAAAGAAAUUUUAAAAAUGCACUGAACUGAAUGAAAAUGAAAACAACAUAAAAUUUGUGAGACACAUAAAGCAGAACUGAUGGGAAAAUAUAUAGCACUAAAUGCAUGCUCUAGAAAAGAAAAGUCUUCAAUUAGUAACCUAAGCUUCCACCUCAAAAACAUAAAAAAAGAAGGAAAAAUAGACCCAAUGCCAGCAGAAAGAUGCAAUAACAAAGAGUAGAACUCAAUGAAAUUGAAAACAGAUAAACACUUUAAAGAAUAAAACAAAGAGCUGGUUAUUAGAAAAGAUCAAUUAAUUGACAAACCUCAAGCAAGACUUUCAAAAAAAAAAAAAAAAAAGGACUUAACUAUACCAGAGAUGAAAUGGGAUAUCGCUAUCAAUACUGCAAACAUCAAAAGGAUAAGUAGAUACUAUGAACUGUACAGACAUGAAUCUGACAAUUUAGACAAACUGGAUCAUUUCCCUAGAAAACACAAACUACUACAGCUUACCCAAUGUAAAACAGAUUAUUUGAAUAGCCUUGUAAGUACUAAAAAAAAAAAUUAAACUCAUUAUUUAAAAAUUCCUAAAAAGAAAGUCUCCAGGGCCAAAUUGUUUCCUUCAGAAUUCCACCACAUUCGUAAAGAUUUGACAGCAAUUCUAUACAGUCUCUUUGAGAAAAUAGAAGGGGGUAUUUUCUAAUUCAUUUUAAGGAGCUAGUAAAUACCCUGAUACUGAAAUGUAUACUGCAAAUUGAUAAAAUUAUAGACCCCUGCAUAUUAAAUUUCAAAAUAAAAACGAUAAAAAUACUUGGGUAAUGAAUAACAGCAUAACAAAAAAACCACAGACUAAUAUCUCAUGAACAUAGACACAAAAAAAUGCUUCACAAUAUGACACAGAAUUCAGUAAUAUAUGAGAAUUAUAUACCAUGACCCAGUAAGACUUAAUCCAAGAAUGGAAGACUGGCUCAAUAUUUAAAAAUCAAUCAAUGUAGUGCAAAUAUUAAUAGCUAAUGAAGAAAUGUCAUAAAAUUAAUACAGAAAAAGGAUUUGACAAAAUUCAACACUCAUUUAUGUAAAAAUGCUCCAAAAAAAUAGGAAUUAAAGGACACCUACAAGAAACUUUCAGCUAACAUAAUUUUUUUUAAUUAAUUUAUUUAUUGUUAUUAUACUUUAGGUUUUAGGGUACAUGUGCGCAAUGUGCAAGUUAGUUACAUAAUUCUUAACGCUGAAUGAUUGAAUGUUUUCUUCCUGAGCUUGAGAAUAAGGUUAGGGUAUCAUCCCUAAUGACGAUUAUUCAACAUAGUGCUCAAAGUUCUAUGAAGUGCAAUUAGGCAAUAAAGGGAAAUAAAAGACAGGUAAAAAAAGGAAGAAACUAAAUUUUAUUUGAAAAAGCUGAUUGUCUACCUAGAAAAUCUCAAGGAAAACACUAUUAAUAUACAGAACAACGUGAAUGAAUCUUUGGAGAAUUAUGCUGCAUCAGAACAAGCCAAUCCCAAAAGAUUACAUACUAUGUAAUUCCAUUUGUAUAACAUUCUUGAACUGACAAAAGUAUAGAAAUGAACAGAUUAGUGGUUGUUAGGGGUUAUGGGUCAGAGAUAGGAGUUGGGGAUAUAAAAAAGCAACCUGAGGGAUCCUUAUGGUGAUUGAAACGUUCUGUAUGUUGGUUCUAUCAAUGUCAAUACUCUGGUUGGACUAUGGUUCUACAGUUUUGCAAGAUGUUAUUGAGGAAAACUGCAUAAAUGGUGCCCAGGAUCUCUCUAUUGUUUCUUACCAUGUAUCUGCAAUGAUUGCAAAAUAAAAAGGUUUAAUUUUUAAAAAGGAUUAAACAUUACAUAGCAUACACUUGAGUAAAAGACAAAAUCUGGCUAAGGAUUAUUUUUGUCCUAAGUAAUAUGUGGAUUUUGUACAACAUAAAUCACAACCCACUAAAAUCUAUAUUGUAAGAUA
Molecule: long non-coding RNA, 5959 nt
Organism: Pongo pygmaeus (Bornean orangutan)
Lineage: Eukaryota; Metazoa; Chordata; Mammalia; Primates; Hominidae
Exons: 3
Source: RefSeq, a predicted model, not a curated record